RNAcentral lists this ribosomal RNA (472 nucleotides) under uncultured bacterium. Its description in RNAcentral is "bacterial SSU rRNA". It matches the Rfam family "Bacterial small subunit ribosomal RNA", at positions 355 to 825 of the family's 1533-position model. The record is from RNAcentral.
UGGGGAAUUUUGGACAAUGGGGGCAACCCUGAUCCAGCAAUGCCGCGUGAGUGAAGAAGGCCUUCGGGUUGUAAAGCUCUUUUGUCAGGGAAGAAACGGUAGUAGCGAAUAACUAUUACUAAUGACGGUACCUGAAGAAUAAGCACCGGCUAACUACGUGCCAGCAGCCGCGGUAAUACGUAGGGUGCAAGCGUUAAUCGGAAUUACUGGGCGUAAAGCGUGCGCAGGCGGUUGUGUAAGUCAGAUGUGAAAUCCCCGGGCUCAACCUGGGAAUCGCAUUUGAGACUGCACGGCUAGAGUGUGUCAGAGGGGGGUAGAAUUCCACGUGUAGCAGUGAAAUGCGUAGAUAUGUGGAGGAAUACCGAUGGCGAAGGCAGCCCCCUGGGAUAACACUGACGCUCAUGCACGAAAGCGUGGGGAGCAAACAGGAUUAGAUACCCCCGUAGUCCCUGAGCGGGCUGGCAAGGCGCAU